This 2917-nucleotide ribosomal RNA is filed under the name Acinetobacter baumannii. RNAcentral describes it as "bacterial LSU rRNA". It matches the Rfam family "Bacterial large subunit ribosomal RNA". The record is from RNAcentral. Lineage: Bacteria; Pseudomonadati; Pseudomonadota; Gammaproteobacteria; Moraxellales; Moraxellaceae.
GUUGUAUAGUCAAGUAAUUAAGUGCAUGUGGUGGAUGCUUGGCAGUCAGAGGCGAUGAAAGACGUGAUAGCCUGCGAAAAGCUCCGGGGAGGCGGCAAAUAUCCUUUGAUCCGGAGAUGUCUGAAUGGGGGAACCCACCUACUUUAAGGUAGGUAUUGCAACAUGAAUACAUAGUGUUGCAAGGCGAACGAGGGGAAGUGAAACAUCUCAGUACCCUUAGGAAAAGAAAUCAAUUGAGAUUCCCUCAGUAGCGGCGAGCGAACGGGGAUCAGCCCAUUAAGUUAUGUGUGUUUUAGUGGAACGCUCUGGGAAGUGCGAACGUAGAGGGUGAUAUUCCCGUACACGAAAGGGCACACAUAAUGAUGACGAGUAGGGCGAGGCACGUGAAACCUUGUCUGAAUAUGGGGGGGACCAUCCUCCAAGGCUAAAUACUCCUGACUGACCGAUAGUGAACCAGUACCGUGAGGGAAAGGCGAAAAGAACCCUGUGAGGGGAGUGAAAUAGAUCCUGAAACCGCAUGCAUACAAGCAGUGGGAGCACCUUCGUGGUGUGACUGCGUACCUUUUGUAUAAUGGGUCAGCGACUUAUAUUCAGUAGCAAGGUUAACCGUAUAGGGGAGCCGUAGAGAAAUCGAGUCUUAAUAGGGCGUUUAGUUGCUGGGUAUAGACCCGAAACCAGGCGAUCUAUCCAUGAGCAGGUUGAAGGUUGGGUAACACUAACUGGAGGACCGAACCCACUGUCGUUGAAAAGCCAGGGGAUGACUUGUGGAUAGGGGUGAAAGGCUAAUCAAGCCUGGUGAUAGCUGGUUCUCCCCGAAAGCUAUUUAGGUAGCGCCUCGGACGAAUACCAUAGGGGGUAGAGCACUGUUUCGGCUAGGGGGUCAUCCCGACUUACCAAACCGAUGCAAACUCCGAAUACCUAUGAGUACUAUCCGGGAGACAGACUGCGGGUGCUAACGUCCGUAGUCAAGAGGAAAACAAUCCAGACCGCCAGCUAAGGCCCCAAAAUCAUAGUUAAGUGGGAAACGAUGUGGGAAGGCAUAGACAGCUAGGAGGUUGGCUUAGAAGCAGCCACCCUUUAAAGAAAGCGUAAUAGCUCACUAGUCGAGUCGGCCUGCGCGGAAGAUGUAACGGGGCUAAAACUAUGUGCCGAAGCUGCGGAUGUAUACUUUGUAUACGUGGUAGGGGAGCGUUCUGUAAGCCGAUGAAGGUGUGUUGAGAAGCAUGCUGGAGGUAUCAGAAGUGCGAAUGCUGACGUGAGUAACGACAAAACGGGUGAAAAACCCGUUCGCCGAAAGACCAAGGGUUCCAGUCCAACGUUAAUCGGGGCUGGGUGAGUCGACCCCUAAGGCGAGGCCGAAAGGCGUAGUCGAUGGGAAAAUGGUUAAUAUUCCAUUACUUCUGUGUAAUGCGAUGAGAGGACGGAGAAGGCUAAAUCAGCCUGGCGUUGGUUGUCCAGGUGAAAGGAUGUAGGCAUGUAUCUUAGGCAAAUCCGGGGUACUCUAUGCUGAGAUCUGAUAGCAAGCUGUACUUGUACAGCGAAGUGGUUGAUGCCAUGCUUCCAGGAAAAGUCUCUAAGCUUCAGUUACACAGGAAUCGUACCCGAAACCGACACAGGUGGUCAGGUCGAGUAGACCAAGGCGCUUGAGAGAACUCUGCUGAAGGAACUAGGCAAAAUGGUACCGUAACUUCGGGAGAAGGUACGCUGUUGUUGGUGAUGGAACUCGCUUCCUGAGCUGACGACAGCCGCAGAAACCAGGCCGCUGCAACUGUUUAUUAAAAACAUAGCACUCUGCAAACACGAAAGUGGACGUAUAGGGUGUGAUGCCUGCCCGGUGCUGGAAGGUUAAUUGAUGGGGUUAGCGUAAGCGAAGCUCUUGAUCGAAGCCCCAGUAAACGGCGGCCGUAACUAUAACGGUCCUAAGGUAGCGAAAUUCCUUGUCGGGUAAGUUCCGACCUGCACGAAUGGCAUAAUGAUGGCGGCGCUGUCUCCAGCAGAGGCUCAGUGAAAUCGAAAUCGCUGUGAAGAUGCAGUGUACCCGCGGCUAGACGGAAAGACCCCGUGAACCUUUACUGCAGCUUGACACUGAACUUUGACCUUACUUGUGUAGGAUAGGUGGGAGGCUUUGAAGCUGGAACGCUAGUUCCAGUGGAGCCGUCCUUGAAAUACCACCCUGGUAAUGUUGAGGUUCUAACUCUGUCCCGUGAUCCGGGACGAGGACCGUGUCUGGUGGGUAGUUUGACUGGGGCGGUCUCCUCCUAAAGAGUAACGGAGGAGUACGAAGGUGCGCUCAGCGUGGUCGGAAAUCACGCGUAGAGUAUAAAGGCAAAAGCGCGCUUAACUGCGAGACCCACAAGUCGAGCAGGUACGAAAGUAGGUCUUAGUGAUCCGGUGGUUCUGUAUGGAAGGGCCAUCGCUCAACGGAUAAAAGGUACUCUGGGGAUAACAGGCUGAUACCGCCCAAGAGUUCAUAUCGACGGCGGUGUUUGGCACCUCGAUGUCGGCUCAUCUCAUCCUGGGGCUGAAGCAGGUCCCAAGGGUAUGGCUGUUCGCCAUUUAAAGAGGUACGCGAGCUGGGUUUAGAACGUCGUGAGACAGUUCGGUCCCUAUCUACCGUGGGCGCUGGAAAUUUGAGAGGAUCUGCUCCUAGUACGAGAGGACCAGAGUGGACGAACCUCUGGUGUACCGGUUGUGACGCCAGUCGCAUCGCCGGGUAGCUAUGUUCGGAAGGGAUAACCGCUGAAAGCAUCUAAGCGGGAAGCCUACCUCAAGAUAAGAUUUCCCUAGGACUUUAUGUCCUCUAAAGAGCCGUUCGAGACUAGGACGUUGAUAGGUUGGAUGUGGAAGCAUAGUGAUAUGUGAAGCUGACCAAUACUAAUUGCUCGUGAGGCUUGACUAUACAACACCCAAGCAGUUG